CACGUAGGGCGCAAGCGUUGUCCGGAAUUAUUGGGCGUAAAGAGCUCGUAGGCGGUCUGUUGCGUCCGCUGUGAAAACCCGGGGCUUAACCCUGGGCUGGCAGUGGAUACGGACAGACUAGAGGUAGGUAGGGGAGAAUGGAAUUCCCGGUGUAGCGGUGAAAUGCGCAGAUAUCAGGAGGAACACCAAUUGCGAAGGCAGCUCGCUGGGACGUAACUGACGCUGAGGAGCGAAAGCCAGGGGAGCAAACGGG
Molecule: ribosomal RNA, 253 nt
Filed under: uncultured bacterium
Lineage: Bacteria
Description: partial 16S ribosomal RNA
Rfam family: Bacterial small subunit ribosomal RNA
Source: RNAcentral